GUUGUGUUAUCAAUACGGACACAUUGGGUGCGACCAGAUAGAUAGGACCUAAUCCAGGCCAGAGUAUCUGUCGACAGUUUAAAAGUUGUUAUUUUGUAAGUAACGUGGGUUGGCUGACUGUAUCAAAUGCCUUCCGGAGGUCUAAGAAUAUUGCUCCAACUACACCUCCAUUGUCAAGGUUUUGUUUGAUUGUUUCUAAUAGAAGGCAAUAUGCAGUUUCGGUCAAGUGAUUUAACCGAAACCCAAAUUGCAUGGGAUGUAGGAGGUCUUCAUUGUCCAAAUGAUCUUGUGACUAGAUAUCAUCCUGUGGUGCAAAAUACAAGCGCAUCGCCUUGUGGUCUGACCUUCGACGUCCCUGAGGCAUCGUAACAGACCUUCUCCACCUCGUCCAGGAGGUCUUCUACUGAGAAACUACAUCUCAUCGGAGCCUCCUCUUCAUCAUCAUCGCUAGCAACCCUUUUAAGACACACACAACAACACUAAAUUGUCUCUUUUCCUUUGUCCUGUCAAAACAUGCAAUUUGUGGGAAUACCUUGCCAAAAUGGAGGUAAUUAUGUUCGAAAUUGUUAUCAAAUUGAAAAAGUGGAGGAUAGGGCUGGGCGAUAUAUUGAUAUACGAUACAUAUCGCGGGUUUGUCUCUGUGCGAUAUAGAAAAUGACUUUAUCGUAAUAUUUGAGUAGACGUUCUCACGCAGCUGUGGGUAUUACACUCUCCUCCUCUUUCCUGCCUCCUCACAGACAAGCAGGCACACAUUCAUACGUCACAUACGUACACGCCCUCGCCCAGCGGAGAAGUUGCGUCGUGGCUAACGUUAGCUGUGAUGCUAGCGGGUUGUUGCGGAGAAAGAAGGUUCGAAUCUCGUAACAAAUGAAGGAAGAAUUAAUUCCCAAGAAAAACAGCAGGGGGUCCAUCGUCUAGCGUGGUUCGGCUUCAAGCGGGAAUAUGUUGAAUAGACAACUUUAAUUUGUCAUGUGUGGGGCACAAGCGUUGCUACCAGAAGUAGCAUUACUGCUAAUAUGUAGCAUCAUUUGAAAAGUCACCUGCUAAUAACUUUAAUAAAUACAGUUUUGGUAAAUUGACUUAGUUGAGAUUUCCUUCUGUGCAUUUAAGUUUAAAAUUAGCAUAUAUUAGUGCGGUAUGAACAAGAAUGUUUUAAUGUAGACACAUAGAAUCAUCAUACUACUGUGAUUAUAUGUCACAAGUGUUCAUUCAAGGUUAAGGCAAAAUAUCGUAAUAUAGAUCGUAUAUCGCGAUAUGGCCUAAAAAUAUCGCGGUAUUAAAAAAUGGCAAUAUCGCCCAGCUCUAGUGGCGGAUUAAAUAAACUCUUAAUUUUCGGACAUGUUGUAAUGAGAAACUGGAAAUAUUAAAGUAAAAUUUAAAGUACCGAUGACUGUCACACACACAUUAGGUGUGGUGAAAUUAACCUCUCCAUUUGACCCAUAUCCUUGUUCACCCCAGGGAGAAGUGAACAGCAGCCGUGGCCGCGCUCAGGAAUCAUUUUGAUGAUUUAACACCCGAUUCCAACCCUUGAUGCUGAGUGCCAAGCAGGGAGGCGACGGGUCCCAUUUUCAUAGUCUUUGGUAUGACUUGGCCGGGGUUUGAACUCACAACAUACUGAUACACAAGGCCACUGACCAGGUCAUAUAAGAUAUGAUGUACCAUAUUAUAAUUGUUCGCAUAAUCAAAAUUAGUCAAUAUUUUAACCAUAAAAUAGCAUAUGUAAAAUGUUGAUUUCCUUACCAAUUGUCAUCAUUCUCCACGUCAUUGUGUAUCAUGUCGACUUGUGUUGUCCAUCUGAAAAUAAGUAACAUAAGACAAAUUGUCAUUUCAGAGACAUUUAUAUCACAAUAAACAAAUAAGAAGGGCACCCUUGACUUUA
Molecule: long non-coding RNA, 1879 nt
Organism: Nerophis ophidion (straightnose pipefish)
Lineage: Eukaryota; Metazoa; Chordata; Actinopteri; Syngnathiformes; Syngnathidae
Exons: 2
Source: RefSeq, a predicted model, not a curated record